AUAGGUAAUAUGAUCUUCAAAUAAUUAUAAAUUGGUAAAUUAUAUCUGCAUUAUCUUUAUUUCGUCAUACGUAUAUCUAAUCACUUCAAAAUUUAAACAUAUUUUUUACACCACAUUUGUUUUUAAGUUUGUAUCAAUAAACCACUUUAACACUAUAAAAUGAUCAUUUUACCUCUAAAUAAAUUAAAAGACCAUUUUAUUUAAUAAAUUUUUAAAAAAUAAAAAAUUAUAAUUACAAGAAUACCCAGAAUUUAAUAAAAUAAAUAAUUAUCAAAUCCAAUAUAUUAAUUUUUUAUAAUUAUAAUUUCAUUUAAAAAUUAUCAAGUUAAUUUUUUGUAAUUAUAAUUUCAUUUAAUUUGUAUAGGGAAGUUUCUCAAUAUUAAUUAUAGAGAAAUUUACAAUAAUUAUAAGGAUCUUUUCUCCUCAUAUUAUUUUUUGUAAACCUCUCUAUACUUAAUUUAAUUACAAAAAUUAAAUGAAAUUAUAAUUAUAGGAUGUUAAUUUUUUAAAAUUAUAAUUUUAUUUAAAAAUUAUCAUCUUAUAUUUUGAGAUUUAUUCGUUUUAUUGAAUUUAGGGGUAUUCUUGCAAUUAUAAAUUUUUUAUUUUUUAAAAUCUUAUAAAAUAAAAUAAUUUUUUUAAGUCAUUUAGGGGUAAAAUUGUUAUUUUUAUUGUCAAAAUGGUUGAUUGAUAUAAAUUUAAAAAUAAAAAUGGUGCAAAGAAUAUGUCAAAAUUUGAAAUAGUUAUUAGAUGUACAUAUGACAAAACAAAGGUAAUUCAGAGAUAAUUUACCUUAUAAAUUUCUCCUAAUUUUUCUAAUAGGCCUAAUAUGUUUUUUGAAAUUAGCCGAAAUAAUUUCAUGCAUCAUUUGUAAAAACACAUUUCUCAUAAGUCAUGACGUCACUUUGAAUACAGGGGUUUUGUCAGGUGUUGUUGGGAUUGGGGUAAUCUCUGUUCUCUUUUAUAUGCACGGGAAACCCAUUUUCUUUUUGAAGAAACAAAUGCAGAAUGAUCAAGAUGUCGACGCAGUAAUAAGAAAGUACGGCUCUCUAGCUCCGAAAGGUUACAACUACUCUGAUGUAAAGAAAAUGACCAACUCGUUCAGUGAUAAAGUAAGACAAGGAGGAUACGGAGUUGUGUACAGAGGAAAGCUACACGAAGGUCGCGUUGCUGCAGUAAAAGUCCUUAGCGAAUCCAAGGGGAAUAGAGAAGAGUUCAUCAAUGAAGUUGCUUGCAUCAGUGGUACUUCCCAUGUCAACAUAGUCACUCCCCUUGGUUUUUGCUGUGAAGGACUAGUCUAUGAGUUUAUGCCCAAUGGAUCUCUUCAUAAAUUCAUAUACGAUAAAGGAUCUAUGAGCACCAAAAAUAACCGCCUGGAAUGGACAACACUAAGCGAGACUGUGGUUGGUGUUGCUCGAGGGUUUGAGUGCUUGAUCGCGGUUGCAACACUGGGAUUGUGCAUUUCGACAUAAAGCCUUGCAACAUUCUCUUACAUGAAGACUUCUGUCCGAAAAUUUCUGAUUUUGGUCUGGCUAAACUGUAAAAAGAAAGAAAGUAUAAUCUCAAUGCUGGAUGCAAGAGGGACUGUUAGAUAUAUUGCUCCAGAAGUAUUUUGCAGAAAUUUUGGAGGAAUUUCUCACAAAUCCGAUGUCUAUGGCUUUGGAAUGACGGUUCUUGAAUUGGUUGGAGUAAGAAAUAAUACUGCUAGUGGAGUAACACACACCAGCAGUACUGAAAUGUACUUUCCAGAUUGGUUUUAUAAGCUACUUGAACCGGGAGAGGAUCUAAAACAUCAUGGUCUCGUAACCGAAGAAGAAGAAGUGAUCGUGAGAAAGAUGAUUAUAGUGAGCUUGUGUUGCAUACAGACCAAUCCAUCAGAUAGACCAUCAAUGAAUAAGGCUGUAGAGAUGCUGGAAGGUGGCCUUGAAGCUUUGCAAGUUCCUCCGAAGCCCUUCUUGAAAUCAUCAUUCACAAGAUCAAUUCGACAUUCUUCCAUGACAACAACUCCUCCGUCAUAGAAUUCCAUCACAAACUCUCUUAUUGUCUUUGAAACUUAGAAGUUUGAUGUUCUAUCAUUGGGUUCAAUUUGUAAGAUUUAAUUCCAUGGGUAAGAAGUAAUUUGUUUUAGAUAAUCUUGGGUUCGAGUUUCCAUGAAUACGUGAAUUAAUAAUUAAAAAUAAAAUAAAAAUGUAAGAUCGUUUUUUAAUAAUUAAAAACAAAAAACAAAUAAGAUCUUUUAGACUGGCACAAAGAAUUUUGUAUUAGAUCCAAUUAUCAUUGGGUUAAAGGAGUUUUGGUUUAUAAUAAAUGUCCAUGUUCUAUUUAAAAAUUUACAAAUUAAAAAAAGAGUCCUCUGAAGUUUCAUUGAGCAAGAAAUUAUUUGUUCAUAAUUUUAGUCAAUUUGAAAUAAUUUUUUUUAAUUAAAAGAUUGCAACGCCACCUAUUAGGAAGCAAAGUAUUCCAUCUUAUGCCUCUUGAGUUGCUUUCCUUUCUAUUACUUUCUUUGCGUGCUUGCAAUUGGCCAAUUGAGAUUUUUUUUUUUUUUUUUAACUGUGUAUUUGGUCUUCCAAGGAAAAUGCUUAGUGGCUAGAAUCGCGAGAGAAGGGUGAGGGAAACGGCUGCUUGUUUCUCCCUCCACUAUCACACGCAUUUAUAGACAAAAAAAUUAAUAAAAAAUUUCAGCACUAAGAAAACAUAAAUAAAGUAAAAAGUUUUGGCAACCUGUGGGAAUAAUAAUAUUUGUGGCGCCAUUAUACUUAGAAACGAAAAGCUUCCCUUUUUUUUUAAGCUUUUUGACUCAUUUUGAUUACCCAAAUCUCUCCCUUCUCUUCAGGGUAAUUCCCUGCAUUUCUUCUUCCUCUGUUUACACUCUCCUUAUUAUUUUUGGUAGAUUUGUCAUUGUUUUAUAUUAAUGCGUGCAAAAUUUCUAUUUUUGUGGAUUUUGUGUUUCUUUUACAAUCUUGCUUAUUUGCUCUUCCGAAUGGAUGAACAAAAUAUUAUUUGGGGGAAAUAACCAAUUUUUUCCCUGGGGGGGGGGGGGGGGGGGGAGCUAACUCGAUGUUUUGAGAAUAAAGAACCUCUGUUUCUAUUAUUUACAUUAAACAGAAAAAGGCUUAAGCUUUUAUGAAUAAAAAUUCUUACUUUUACAAUGUACUUACUCUUUGUGACGGUAUUCUUCUGCUUUGAUUUUACUUUGGAAGAAAGCCUGAGAUCAGUGAUGUCAAUUAGCACAAGUAGAAAAUGAUAAUCUAAUGUUUUAUGUGUCUUUCUUUCAUAGUACAUGGAAACUAUGUAUGAGUUCAUGAGUGAGAGAGAAAUCAUGAAAUAAUAACUUGGGCGAUGACCGUGUUGUUGUCGGCGGUCGUGUCGUCGUCGGCAGUGGUACUGUUGAGAGAAGGAAGAAAAUGGCGAGGACGGAGGGGAGUGGGGUGAGAGUGGAUUAGCUGAUAUAGUUUUCAAUUUCUCAGCAUUUUUCUAUUAUCUUUUAUUAAAUUUUUUAAUUGUUUUUUUCUUUCUUUAGAAGGGCGCAUGAUAGUGCCGCCGUUUCUCUCGCCCUUCUCUCACCUUUCUAGCCGCCUGUCACGACUCUUUCUCCAAUUGAGAUUCAAGAGAAUGGCUUUAAGACUUUUUUUAAAAAUAGUUAUUUAAUACAAGAUAAAAAUUUUUAAUUAAAAGAUUCCAACGCCACCUAUUAGUAAACAAAAAAUUCCAUCUUGCGCGUCAAGAGUUGCUUUCCUCUCUAUUACUUUAUUUGCGUUCUUGCAAUUGGCCAAUUGACAUUUUUUUCCUUUUUCUUUUUUCUCUUUUUUUUUUUUUUGGUGCAUCCGCCAAUUGAGAUUCAAGAGAUGGGCUUUAAUUAAAAUUUUAAGAAAAAAAUCAGUUAUUUAAUACAAGAUAAAUUUAACGUGAAUGGAAAUACAUAAGCGUGCUAAAACUAAAGUCGCUAGGGUAUUUGGGUCAUGAUGCAAAAUGAUUGCUGGUCAAAUUUAUAGCCGUCGAAAAUUUGAAAAUUUGACAAGUUCAACUCUGACGCUACUAAUACAAACUACCCACCCAAAUUGCCCCCCGCCCACCCGUAUUCUUGGGUCAACCAUGCCAAAAUUAAGUCUUUGUAUUACUUUCCAUGAAUUUUCCUCUUGAGAAGUGAUGCAACUCUUUCCUACAUACUUCUAUCACAAAGAACGAGAAAUUAAAACAAUUCGUUUCUUCUAAAUUAUAUAUCCAAUUACUUGCAAGUGUCUCAUGCUCUUUCGAAAUGGGACUCCAUCCCCAUCUUGGUCCAAGCAUGAUCGGCUUGUUUUUCUUCGUCAUAAAUAUCAUUUUCGUCCGUGUUCCAACUCCUGUGUCCGCCGAUUAUGAGGAGCAUAAAAACUGCAGCGCCCCGUUUCGUUGUGCUAACAGAGACGAUAUUGGUUAUCCUUUCUGGGGAGGAAACCGUUCAGAAUAUUGUGGCUACCCGGGAUUUGAGUUGAAUUGCGAGGAAGAUGUUCCCGAGAUUAACAUCUUAAACAUUACUUACAAAGUCCUGAAAUUCGAUAAAGCAACGCGGAUAAUCACUGUUGCUAGAGAAGAUUACUGGGACAAAUACUGUCCAUCAAACUUGGUCGAUACUGCUCUAGAUUUCUCUCUUUUUGAUUAUGCUCCCGGCACAGACAACUUGACUCUGUACUACAGCUGCCCCGCCAACUUUAUGAAUGGUAUGUCAGUGCUGUCGUUGCUGGGUCCCUAUAAGUUUCGUUGCAACUCAGAUGAAUCAAACGCCGACGAUAACUACUUUUACUCAUGGGAUGUCGAUAGUGUCUUCAAUAAGACCUUCACUGAUGCCGUGAAAGCUUACUUCGGUAGUUGUGCGAAGAGCGUUCUACUGCCUCUGCAGCAACCAACAGUUGAGUCUUUGGUGAAAAAUCCGGCUUCGGAAAAUCUGACUAGAGCUCUUCAGGAAGGUUUUGGGCUGCAAUGGUUUCCAAAUAAUAAUCUCUGCGAAAAGUGUCAACAAUCAAAAGGAGAGUGUGGGUAUUCUGCAAGGACUGGUCAAUUCAAUUGUUAUUGCCCUGAUAAAGCUUAUACCGAUUCCUGUCCACCCCAAGAAGGUACGUCCCUUUUCCUGAUUGUUCUGUUAGCAUCUCAGUAAGGAUUCCGUCCAUUAGGUUCCAGAUUAGUUAGUUUUCGUAAGAGGAUUGGGCUGUUGUUAAGAGUCCACUUAGGGUCGAGUUGGAUGCUCUGUCUCCCCGGAACAGAGACCCGUAAAUUUAGAUGAUCACAAAAACUUGAAUCUUGAAACAGUUCUCUUCAUCCAACAACAAUGACAUGAUAAGAGUCGACGCUUAUAGGGUCGAUUUGCCAUGAAAUCGAAUCAGUAGUCGUCAAUUUAAGCGUCUUGUUGAUACUAAAGAGGUAUACCUCCAGAAGGAAAUAACCAGGUUCUAAGCCAUCAGUUCUCGGAAGAUUGUUUUCUUAUUGUCUAGCAGGCUGGAGUAUUUCUUCUUGAACAGGGACCCAAAAUUUUUCUGAACAGUUACUUUCAACUCGUUUCAGGACUCGGUAUAAUAUUCCUCAAACUGAAAUAGUUUUCUAUAAUUUCCCUCAAACUGAAACAAUUUUCUUCCUUCCAACAUGCACACAAUUAAAUUCAUUUUUCUGUUUGAACAUAUAAUAUUAGAGGGAGCAAACCUAUUGGAUCCAUUGUUCAAAAGUCUUAGCAACCUAAUGUCAUGGAAAGACUUUCCUUUGGUGACAUUCAUACUGUGCAUGCAACAGGUACCAGUCAGGUUUAGUAAAAAAAAAUUUCAUAAACAAACCAGGUCAUGUGGAUAUAUUUCCUGCAAUCACACAUCCUAAAACAUAUUCAACACUUCCUUUCAGUCAAUUUGUUAAUUGAAAUAUGGAAUAUCAAGGGAAUCAUCAAGAUCAUUUGCUUUUGUUUAUAUGCACCAUUAUUUCUCUUUAUUCAUUAGUCAUUAUGAGAUGCUCACAGUUGUUCCUGGUUGCCCAUCAUCUACAUCUUUUUCUGGACACUUCAGAUGCUCUAUAGAUGGUAUCAAUUAUGAGAAUGUCUUCAUAUUAGUAUGAGCUAAUGCUUCAGGAGCAUGUAAUGCUAGUGUGACUUUUACGGUUCCUAAAAGUGUACUUCCUAUAGUAUUAGGGAAUUGCUUGGUCUUGAAACAAGUACUCCAGUUGAAAUGGGAGGUAAGUGGAUGGCAUGCGAUAAGUGCACCCAAGCUGGUUGAAGGUGUCAAACAAUUCGUCACUACAAAGAGGAACUCACUAACUAGCAGAGCUGCACAGGUAAGUUACACAACUAUUCAAGCUUCGAUUGGGGCCCAUUCGCUGACGUCACAUCCCUGACCACCAUUGUUCAGCAGCUCUUUUGAGGCUCCAAGAGCUUUGCAAUUGCCUGAACCUCUGCACUACAGCCUCUUUUUUUUCCCUCUCUUUCCGUUUCCUCUUUGAUUUAACGAGUGGCUCGAGCAUUUUUAACUGAUUGUAAUGUUAACUUCAUAUGUCACCAUCAUGAGAAAGAGUAAAGAUGCCAAAAUUUUUCUGCCAAACCACCGGAGACAAACAUAAAAUUUAGUAUAAGCAGUCAUUUUUUAAAAUGUGUAUUUGUACAGAGUCCUCGAAAAUGUUAGUGAACAUAAGUGAUUAACAGCUGAAUUACAAACAACAAUAUAUUUUGUAAAAUAUGGACGUCCCUAUCUGAUGAGCUACAAAAGUAUGCAAGUCUCUAAUGCCGUUCAAAUUAGAGGGUAAAGAGCUAUAUUCAUCAAGACCAUUUUAUGACAGUUUAUUGACAAUGGAGCUAGAGAAAAGCUGUUGACGCUUUGUUUAUGCUGCAGGAUCAUUCUUUAACAAGAGAAAGAAGACUUCCUUUGGUAAUUUCUACAUCUGAUAGCUUGUUUUCACAUCAGCAGCAGCAUUUUCAACAAUUCUUUCAAGGGAUGAUUGUACAACAGAUCUAUCACUAUUAUUCAGUUCUAUUUUUGAAUGCAGGAAUUGGGGCUGGUGUGGUGGGGAUAAUAGUGAUUCUGGUUAUUCUUCUUUUGGUCGGCCUACGACAUAUUCGGAAGAAGAAAACAGAGAAUGAUCAGAAUGUCUUUGGCUUCGGAAGAUUUCGGAAGAAGAAAACAGAGAAUGAGAAUGCGGAAGCAGCUUUCAUUAGGAAUUACGUAUCUCUUGCACCUAAGAGAUAUAAUUAUUCUGAUGUUAAGAGGAUGACGAACUCAUUCAGUAAUAAACUUGGUCAAGGAGGCUUUGGUAGUGUUUACAAAGGAAAGUUACCUGAUGGUCGUCUUGUGGCGGUGAAGGUCUUAAAGAACUCCAAAGUUAAUGGGGAGGAAUUCAUCAAUGAGGUGGCCAGCAUGAGUAGAACGUCGCAUGUUAACGUUGUUAGCUUUCUGGGAUUUUGUUAUGAGAAGAAGAAAAGAGCUCUAAUCUAUGAAUUCAUGCCUAAUGGCUCUCUGGAUCAGUUUAUAUAUGAUGAAGAAUCUUCAAAUAUAAACCGCAAGUUGGAAUGGAGAACAAUGUGCCAAAUUGCGGUCGGCAUUGCCAGAGGACUGGAGUACUUGCAUCGAGGCUGUAACAUAAGGAUUGUACACUUUGACAUAAAACCUCACAACAUUCUGUUAGGUGAAGACUUCUGUCCGAAAAUAUCUGAUUUUGGGCUGGCUAAGCUAUCCGAAAAGAAAGAGAGUUUCAUAUCAAUGUUGGGUGCAAGAGGAACUAUAGGGUAUAUUGCACCGGAAGUAUUCUGCAGAAACUUUGGAGGAGUUUCUCACAAGUCCGAUGUAUAUAGCUAUGGAAUGAUGAUUCUUGAAAUGGUUGUGGGAAGAAAGAAUGCUGAAGUCAAAGUGUCUCUUAGCAGUGAAAUAUAUUUUCCCAAUUCGAUUUACAAGCAUAUUGAACCAGGGAAUGAAUUUCAACUUGCUGGGGUUGUCACCGAAGAAGAAAAAGAGAUGGCCAAAAAGAUGAUCUUAGUGAGCUUGUGGUGCAUUCAAACUAAUCCAUCUGACAGACCUUCAAUGCACAAGGUUUUGGAGAUGUUGGAAGGUCGCACAGAAGACUUGCAAAUUCCUCCAAAGCCUUCACUGUCUUCGCCAAGAAGAUCAGCCCAACAGUUAUCUCUGGCCAGUUUAUUGGUUGAUUAAUUUCCAAGUUUAUUGUUAAGAAAAAUAGUGAUUUCAUUCAGUUGAGUUUGAACAAAAAUUUGAUUCAAUUAGAACACCGUAAGAUCAAGCUUUAUAAUUCAAGGAUAGAUGCGAGACUUCACUGACCUAAAUGAAAUAAAGAAAUCAGCAAAUCAGAUCAAGAAACAAAGAACCAACACGAGGCAAUUAUGGUGGUUGAAGCAAAAAUGGUGUGCAUCCACUAGUGCUUCUGCAACAACAAGAUACAUAUUUGCAAGAAUGAAGAAUAGAUUGUAUAGAGGAAAUCUUUAACAGAUUUUCCACUCGAUCUCUCUUCAUCAGCGUAAAUCAGAUCAUCGAGGUGAACGGCGCCAAAAAAAAAAAAAGCUGUUUUCACAGCUAAUUGAACAGCCUUGACUUUAAUCGCUUCACGUGACUAGCACGUGUAAAUUACAGCUCAAAACACUGCGUUUCACCUCUGAUUUGGAUAAAUUUGAUGACUAAAAAUCUCAAAUCAACUGUGGUCAACCAACCACUUUAGAAGUGGUAGUAGUAGCUCAAAGGCCAAAAUUGCUAGACAGCAAUGGCAAAUGGAGCCAUAAUUGUCAUGAAAAUUUUGUCAAACAUUUGACAAUAGAUCACUCAGUUUUCACAUAGCAGACUAUUACUUGCACAAAUUCAAAAAUAUGGAAGCACGCGUGCUAAAACUUCAAACAAGUUUUAUUCCUUGAUUUGUUGCCGUCUCUGAAUUUUCUUUCUCUUAUAUUCCUUCUAUUUGUAGUUCUUAUCAAGAUCCGUCCAACCUCAACGAAUUCCGAUAUUGUCCGGAAGUUGUAGUAUUCCGUUCCGUUGUGAGAAGAUCACAACCAGCUAUCCAUUUUCGGGAGGCGAAAGAGAGUAUGCUUGCGGCCAUCCUAGCUUAAACCUCAAUUGUGAGAAUGAUACAGCUGCCCCAGUGAUUGGUGGUUCAAAACCAGUGGCGGGCCUACACGUGGGCUAGCCCAGUUUGGUUAAUAAAAAACCGUUUAUACCUCUUACUGUUUUAUCAAUUUAGUAAAAUAAUAGAAUUUUUAUUUUAUUUUCAUAUAUAUCCCUAAUUCAACUGCCCUUGUGUUUUCAUCAAUUUAGUAUAAUAAUAGAGUUUUUAUUUUAUUUACUAAAUAUGUCUCCAAUUUAAUUAUAUUAUUUUCAAUUGAAAUUAGUGACUUAUUUUAUAAAAUAAUUAAAUUAUAUGUUUAUUGAUUAGAUUGAAAACAUUAGGGAGUUAAAAUUUUAUUACUGCUUUAAUUUAUUUUAAAAAACUUCUAAUUGAAAAAAAAUAUGUCAAUGUAAUAUAACAUCAUCACUAGUAUUAAAAGUACUUACAGAAACAACAUAUAGUAACAAUUAUCAAUAUUUUCAUAAAAAAAAUUAUGUGAAUUUUCAUAUUUUAUUUAUUAGUUAUAUUAACUAAGAGGACAAGUUAGAAAAUAAAAUUUGAGUAUUUUACGGAGCUUUUGAUAAAAGAAUCAUCAAUAUCUAGUUCUUUAAAGAGAGACAGAGGACCUCACGAAGAAACAAUUGCACCCAAAUACCUUUUUGCUGAAUUAAGUUUAGUUUAUUAUUGAAACUUUUGACUAAUAAUACGUUUAUGAUUUGAAAUGAUGAAUAAAUUUUAAUUGUUUAAUAUAUUAAGUCUGGUAAUUUAGUACUUCACUUUAAACAUAAAAGUUUUACUUGUAAUUUUUAAUUGAUUGCAAUUAUAUGUAUUGAUUUAUUUUAAUUUGAAAUUCUUAAUUGAUUUUUUAAUCUUUAUAAAAUUACAUGUUAUUGUAGGUUGUAAUGUCAAAUUCUAUAAUUGAAAAUUAGUGUUUUCAUAUUUGAGUUGCCUUUUAUUUUCUACUUUUUUUUUUAUAAUUAGUCUACAAUACAUAUUUAGAGGGAUAAGGUUCUUGAUGUUUCUCCUAUGUACUUCUUUUUACUUAUAAAUUUUUAUGAUUGUUUUAAAAUAUAAAUUUUAAAAUUUAGUUUGGGGUAAUAUUCAAUCCUGCGUGCCCCUGUUCAAAACACCGUGUUUUAAAUGUCAAUCACAAAGAACAACUUCUCAGGAUCUCGAGGCAGGUCUACUUUGAAGAAUUCUGCCCCCAAAGGAACUUCACCAUCGAUUCAACACUCUUUGAUUAUGCUACCGGGUGUGAGAUGCUUACUUUGGCUUCUGGUUCCCAACAAUGUCCGGAAACUCCAUUUGAUAUAUUGACGGAUUCAACUACACCAACGGCUUACAGCAAACAGGAUCUCCGGAUUGUAAUUUUAGUGUCAUUGUUCCGGUUUCGGAAACGUUACUCUCAGCAGCAAAUAGUAGGCGGGUUUGAAAGAAGCGUUACAAACAGGAUUUGAACUGAAAUGGAAGUUGAGUUUGUGUGAGAACCGUAGCAGUUUUAGUUAUCACAUCUUUUCAAAUGAAGGAAUUUGCCACUGCCCUGGCAACUCAAAAGCAUGUUCAAUUUUACCAGCGUCACCGAAACCAAAAGGUAAGCGCCUCAGGUUUUCUUAACUUAUUACUAUACCAUACAUGCCUAGGCUGAAAAAAUAUUUCAGUCAAAAUAAAGGCACUAAUUGAAAUUUUGCCACGCCCAUAUAAAUUUUACUUUUGCCUGCUUAAUUUUAUAUAACGCUGUUGUGGCGUGAUAUAUGCCAUACUUUUGGCUUCCUAGAUUUUAGAAAUAAUAUGUUAUACCCUACUUUAAUUUAUGUUAUCUCUAUUAUGGUCCCCAUCAAACCAAAACUGUGUCCUCCACGAAUACGAUUUUUUUUUUUUGAGUCUUUUAAUACGACCCUCAAAGAAUUUACUAAUUGAACUAACCAACACCACCUACUUUAUAAUAUUUAUUAAUCUUUUAUUAUAUCUCGAAUGAGCCCAUAUUUCAUUUCAGUUCUCAAGAACCUUAUAGCACAAAAAAUGCAUACUAAUAUAAUGUGAGACUGAAAUUAAUUCCGUUUACCAUUCUUCUUUCAUCAACUGUCACGUAAGAUGUUUAGUCAAAGCUGAGUUAAGGAGAAAUCUCACGUAAGAUGUCCUAUUUGAUGUGUUGGAUAUUAAAGAGAUAAAAGAGGAGGGUCUAGCUCAAGAAAGAUUGGAGGACAAAGUUUGAUUAGAGACAUUGGUGGCAAGUUAGAGAUCUCGAUGUAAGGCUAAGUUCUCAAUAGGCUAGUAGAGUUGGUUUGGCUUUGUCGAUUGCAUAGGUGAGCUCUAUCUGCUGUGUCUAUAGCCUCGUUAGACAAGUAUAAUCUAGAAGACUAGAACUCAAUAAUAAAAUAUUAAAAUAAUCAUACAUAAAUGUAAAAAACAUAGAAUUGCACCUAUAACCACGAGAGAAAAUUCAUCACCCAAUCUUAUGUAGCAUGAGGUUCUUUAUAGUAUCAAUGAUAAGCAAUUCCCAAUUGGAUGGUAGAUUUGAGGAUAAAGAUUAGGGAAAUCGGAAAUAUGUGAUUGGAAGUGGGGAGUGGAAAGAGAGGUUUCUUCAUGACUGAGAGUGGCAAGGUACAAAUUUCUUCAUGACUGAGAGUGGCAAGGUACAAAAUAGUGAAGAGAAACUUAGAGAUGGAUAUUGGGAAGAGAAUAAGCCUGAGAGAUCUGCAAAAAUGUCCUUCAUUAUCAACUGUAUACAUCAAAAAGACUUUGUUUUCAGUCUUUCACAACGAUAGCACAUAACAGACUAUGCCUUGCAAGCUGCAACCCAAAUCAAACGGUGAGUAGAAACAAAUAUGCAUGCGCGGUCAACAAAAAGAAGUGUUGAGGUCAACUACAUUCAUACUGGUCUUUCUUUAGCUUUCUUCGAAUUUUCUUCCUGAGAUGCAAUAAUCUAAGUUAAGUCCUGAUUGGUUUUCCUCGGAAUCUACUUUCACCGAAAAAGAGUUUCCAGCUUUUCCCUCCACCAUCCAAUUUUGUUUAUCUUCUCAGUUUUUUGCAAGACUAAGCCGAUUUUAGCCUAUUUUGAGUGUUCGCCACGUUGCACUGCUCCGUACCACUGUCGAGAUUUAACAGUCAGCUAUCCUUUACGGAGAGGUGACCGAUUGCAGUUUUUGCGGCCACCCUGACUUAAAGCUCAGUUCCCAGUAUUUUGCAAAACAACCAUGAUGAUUCAUGAUGUUAAAAACCGUAUCCUCCAUGUCUAUAAAAUUACUAGCAAAACCAAAACAAUUAUGACGCUUUUGUUUGUGCCGCAGGAUCGUCUUUCAACAAGAGGAGAAAAAUUUACCUAGGGAAUAUGCAUCAUUAGAUAACUAGUUUAUUUCUUUAUUUGCAUCAACAAUUUAUAAACAAUCUCAGCACCGAUAGUUGUUAGGAGAGUAAAUUUCUAGUCAUUCAUCGUUAAAUACAAUGUGCUGCUCCUAUCCUUGAAUACGGGAAUUGCAGCUUGCGGGACAUUCAGACUAAUCCAUCUGAUAGACCUUCAAUGCACAAGGUUCUGGAGGUGUUCGAAGGUAGCAUAGAAAACUUGAAAAUUCUUCGCCAAGAAGAUCAGCCCAACAGUCUUCUUCUGCAUCAUAGUCAACAGAGCUUGCAUCGCAGGAGUCCUCCUUGUCUUAGUGAGUGAUGAGAAUUGCAAUGCUUUCAACGUGUAUACUAAUCUGUCCCAUCGACGAACCAUGGCUUCCUUUAGACUUUAAACUGUAACAGAGAAGUAAAAUUUGUUGCUUGAUAACUUUUUUAAAUUUUGUGUUCACAUAUCUUUACUCAUUGAGGAAAGUAAAAUGUCUGUUCUAGCAGUUUUCUUUUGACAAAAUUUAGGAAACACCGACCACUACUCGUGAUUAAGUCUUCGAAGCCUUUAUGGUCAUACUAAACAAUUGCAUUUUCAUUUUCUCGAUACCAUUCGAGUACCUCUAUCGCUCUCUCUCUCAAAAUGGAUCUCCGUUUCAGCUCAAGGCUGUGCUUAUUCUUUUUCGUGAUAACCAUCCACUUGGUCCGUUUUCCAACUCAUGUGUCAGCCAAGGAUGUCCAAAAUCUAAACUGCAGUGCCCCGUUUCAUUGUGCAAACUUACGGAACAUUGGCUAUCCUUUUUGGGGCUCAAACCGUCCAGAACAUUGUGGCUAUCCAGGUUUUGAGUUGGAUUGCGCAGGUGAUGUUCCAGAGAUUACCAUCAUGGACAGGGCUUACAAAGUUCUGCACAUCAAUAACGAGUCGCGGAGAAUCAAUGUUGCUAGACAAGACUACUGGGAUUAUAAUUGUCCCGCAAAUCUCAGCAACAGUUCGCUCAAUUUCAGCAUUUUCAAUUAUGCUUCGGACACACGAAACUUGACUCUAUAUUAUAGCUGCCCUGCCAGCUUUAUGAACAAUAUUUCAGGGAUACUGCUUCCCAAUCGAUUUAACUGCAGCAUAGAUGGAAAAAACUCCAACAAUUACUAUUUCUCUUGGGAUAGCAAUAGCUUCAAUAGUAGCAUCAGUUCAGCCAUUGGAGCUUACUUUAGAAGUUGUGCGAAUAGUGUCGUGAUUCCUGUGUGGCAAUCAACACUUCGGUAUAUGGUGAACAAUCUAAAUUCAGUAAAUCUGACAUGUGCUCUUCGUGUAGGUUUUGGACUGCAAUGGCAUGCGAAUAAUCGCUUGUGUGAAGAAUGUGAACAAUCAAAUGGAAACUGUGGUUACAUUGCUAAGACUGGUGAAUUCAUUUGUUAUUGCCCUAACGGAGCUUAUUCGUCAUCUUGUCACUCCCGAACAGGUAUGUCUUAUUGCAUAGGAAUAAGUAAGUUAUUGGUUUCAGGUAGUUUCUUUGUUGCUGUUGUUAGUUUAGCUCACGAAAUCAGAACCCUCUGCAACAAGCUAUUCUACUGUACAGUGAAAACAGAUAGUUGGCAGACAAUCAUUUCGAACCAAAAUCAAAACAUACAUGAGAACAGGGAAGCAUGUGUCGCAUUGUCUUUAAGUCAACUACAACAGGCUACAGCAAUUUUUUUAAUCAUUUCCUUGCUUUUCUUCAGUCUUUGCAAUCACAUUCACGUGUUAAGCGGUUUUUUCUAAAGUAGGCUACAAAGUUCCUUCGUUCAUAAUCCCUUUUUUCCAUGUCAGUGGAAAUGAGUCUCCAGCUCAUCUUGUAGUCACAAUUUUUUUUUUUUUUUUUUAUCUUCUACGUUUAAUGUUCAUAUUUUUCUCGAGGUUCAGCCUAUCUUUUCUUUCUCUUCAUUCAUAAUUCAUUGCAAGAUGCUAAGAAUUCUUUAUGGCUUGCCAGCGCCUGCAUCUUUUACAGAGCACUUCACUUGCUAACACUUCACUUGCUGUUAAAAAUGAUACAAUUACAAGAAAGAAUUAACUGCAUUUGUUUCCAGCAUGACAAGAGUCAAGAUGACACAGGUUUCUGACAAAAGAUAGCCAAGCAACACACAAAAUUAUGUAUGAACAGUCAUUUAACUACCGUACACAAAUCUGUCUUUUGCAAAAUACGGAUGUUUCCACCUGAAAAAUUAUAGAAGUACACAACUAAAAUGCAAGUUUAAUGCAGUUUUCAUUCGAGUUUAAAUUUUAGAUUCAUCAAAUUUAUCCCAUGACAGUCCAGAGAUCCAUACAAGCUGUUGACACUUUCUUUGUGGCUUUGCGAUGCAGGAUCAUUCUUGAACAAGAAAAGGAAGAUUUAUGUAGGUAAUUAAUUUCUACAUCUGACAGCUAUUUUUGCUUUGUUUUGGCAUUAGCAUUUUCAACAAUUGCUUUUCAAGGAUGAAUAAAGGAUAGAUGUAUCUUUGAAUGCAGGAAUUGCUGCUAGUGUGCUCGGUACAAUGGUGAUUCUUGGUAUUCUUCUCAUAGUAAUCCAGGCACUAAUUAAAAAGAAGACAAGAGAGGAUGAUCGAAACGUGGAAGCUUUUAUUAGGAACCACGAAUCUCUUGCUCCAAAACGAUACAGUUAUUCUGAUGUUAAGAGGAUGACAAAAUCAUUCAGAGACAAACUCGGUCAGGGAGGCUAUGGAGAAGUUUACAAAGGAGAACUACCUGAUGGUCAACUUGUAGCAGUAAAGGUCUUGAAGAACUCCAGAUGUAAUGGGGAGGAAUUCAUCAAUGAGGUGGCCAGCAUUAGUAGAACACCCCAUGUUAAUAUUGUGACAUUUCUGGGGUUUUGUUAUGAGAAUAAGAAAAAUGCUCUAAUCUACGAAUUGAUGCCUAAUGGAUCUCUUGAUAAGUUUAUACAUAAUGAUCGGAAUAUCAAGCUGGAAUGGAAAACAAUGUAUCAAAUUGCCAUCGGCAUUGCUAGAGGAUUAGAGUAUUUACAUCGAGGUUGUCAGGUAAGGAUUGUGCAUUUUGACAUUAAACCUCAAAACAUUCUUUUAGAUGAAGACUUCUGCCCGAAAAUAUCUGAUUUUGGGCUUGCCAAACAAGCCCAAAAGAAAGAGAGUGCCAUAUCAAUGCUGCAUGCAAGAGGCACCAUAGGAUAUAUUGCACCAGAAGUAUACAGCAGAAGAUUUGGAGGAGUUUCUCACAAGUCCGAUGUCUAUAGUUAUGGCAUGAUGAUUAUUGAAAUGGUUGGGUGCACAAAGAAUCUUGAUGAUGAAGUGACUGAUACCAGUAUAUGUCACAAUUUGAUAUAUGAGCGCAUUGAACCUGGCAAUGACUUUCAAUUUGAUGGGUUUGCCACUGAAGAAGAGAAAAAGAUGGCAAAGAAGAUGAUCUUGGUGGGUUUUUGGUGCAUUCAAACCAAUCCAUCUGAGAGACCUUCAAUGCACAAGGUUCUGGAGAUGUUGGAAGGUAGCAUAGAAAACUUACAAAUCCCACCAAAACCUUCUUUGUUUUCAGCCACUUAGUGUUCACCAACAUCGUUGCCAAUGGAGCUUGUUUCGCAGGAGGAAUUCAGCAUCGAGUAAGAGAUCUGUGAAAUUUGAAAUGUCAUUAACCUGUAACUGUAACAGGUACAAAAUUAGUUGGCUGUUGGCUGAUGAUGAUUAAUUAUGCGAAAUGAGUGCUAAUUAAGUUUUAAAGUACAUUGUUUCCCUCCGGAUUGUGUAUCAUCAUGAACACAAAUCAAUUAAUGUGGCGCUUUGCAUAAAAGUGCAUAAUUAUAUGUGAAUAGAACAAAAUCUCGCCUCAUGUUGAUGUAACCAAGAAAAAUUUCUGCACCAUCAUUAAUUUCACGAAGGAAAUGCCAAAUCUCAAAGAGAAAGAGCACUAUAACAUAUGUGGUUUUGGCUUAUCUCAUAGAAGGGCAAAAUAUUUUUUUAGGUAAAAUAUUUCAGUAAAGAUAAGGGAUUUUAUUAAAAUUUACCUAUUUGUGUAAAAUUUUCAUUUACCCCCUAAAAAUUACCCUUUUUUGUUAUGACCCCUCAAGUUUAUUUUUUCUCAAUUACGACCAAUAUCAUGAUUCCAGAUGUGAAGAAGACGAUUUUAGUAACAAAUGAGAGUGUAUAAAUGUUGGGGAACAAGAAUCACAACCGAAAACUUGAAUACAUCAUUUGCCUUACCUAGAGAAACUGUCAUACCUCGCUUUUAAAGCUUCCCUUAGAAUUCUUUCAACUCAAGUAAUUUAAGUGAUGUUUUGAAAUAGCCAUACUAAAGGGAAGUACCAAGUAUUUACCCGAAAACUUGUAGUUUCUUUCUAGAACUCCUCUUGCUUGGACGAUAUUUUGAAACUAAUUAUUUUACCAUUUUCACUAGAAAAAGCUAUUCAACGAGGUAUGGUUUCUCUUGACAUUGGAAGUAGUCGGAAGCUAAAGAGUCAAAAAAGCAACCGGCGACACUUGUCUAGCUGUUAAUGAUAGAGUGAGUCAAUAGUUAUUUUGGUUCACCGACCCUACCAGGCUACUAUCUCUCCCCUUGAUUUUUAACAUCCAUCAAAUAAAAAAUUCGUCAAACAAAACGGUCUAUGGAUCAUUUACUUUCAACAUCGUAGACUAUAACUUGCAAUCAUAGUCAAACGAAUGUUGAAAAACAUGGAAGCGUGCGAAAGCUUAAAACAAAGUCUUGAUGUCAACUACAUCAAUAUUUUCGUUCUCUUCUACUGCUUUCCUUGCAUUUUUCUUCCUGAGAAGUGAUGAAACUCUCUCCGUCUUUCCCAUACACACCCGCCAAUCUAUAUUAUCUACUUAAUUUCACCAGAAAUGGGUUCCAGCUUUUGCUGCCGUCUCCUAAUCUUCUUUCUCUUCUAUGCUUUCUAUAUGUAAUUGUUGUCGAGAUUCAUCCAUCUUUAACAGAUUCGGAUAGUCUCCGAAGAAGUUGUAGUCUUCCAUUCCGUUGUGGGAAGAUCACAGCCAGUUAUCCAUUUUCGGGAGGCGAAAGAGAGUAUACUUGCGGCAAUCCUAGCUUAAAUCUUAAUUGUGAGAAUGAUACAGCUACCCUUGUGCUUGGUGAAGUAAAGUACCGGGUUUUAAAUAUCGAUCAGAAAGAACAACUCCUCAGGAUUGCAAAACAAGUGUACUUUGAUGGAUUCUGCCCACAGCGUAACUUCACCAUCGAUUCAACACUUUUUACUUAUGCUGAUGGGUAUAAGAUGCUUACUUUGAUUUCUGGUUGCCCAACAAUGUCCGGAAACUCCGUUUGCUAUAUUAAUGGGCUCAACUAUGCCAAUGGCUUCAUGCAAACAGGAUCUCCGGAUUGUAAUUUUAGUGUUACCAUUCCGGUUGCGGAAACUUUACUCUCAGCAGCAAAAGGUAGCCUGGCAGGUUUGAAAGAGGCGUUGGAAACAGGAUUUGAGCUGAAAUGGAAGUUGAAUUCAUCGUGUAAGAACUGCAGCAGUUGUAGUUAUCAUGUCCUUUCAAACAAAGGAAUUUGCCUGUGCCCAGAUGGACAACUUGACAACUUACCAGGAUGUUCAACUUCACUAGCCCCACAAAGAGCAAGAGGUAUGGGCCUGUGGUUUUAGGGCAGUUCUUACCUUCUUAUUAUAUUAUCGAAAAUUAUUAUUGCACCACUUUUAUUGUCUUAUGUUCAUCCAAUCACUAUAAAAUUCUAAUAUGUAUUUUGCACCACCUUUCUUUUCACAUUUGUAUCAACUAGCCAUUUUUGCAUUAACACUAUUAAAUAAUUUUAAUAAAAUGAUAAUUUUACCCCCAAAUAAAUUAAAAAAUUAUUUUAUUUUAUAAAAAUUUAAAAAAAUAUAAAAUGAUAAAAAUAUCCAUAAAUUUAAUAAAAAUAAAUCCCAAAAUUAGAAUUUUUAUUUUUAAUAAAAAUCAUUUUAAUAUAAAAUUAUAAUUAUAAAAAUAAUUGUAAAAUUUUGGGAUUUAAUAAAAAUCCCCUAAAUUAUUAAAAUUUUAGGAUUUAUUCUUUUAAGAAAUAAAUUCAGUUAUUUUAAUAAAAUUUUACAAAAUUAUAAUUUUUUAAUAAAUAAAUUCAUUUAUUUUUAUUAAAAUUUUGUGAAAUUAUAAUUUUUAAUAAAAAUCAGUUGAGCACAUCUAUUUGGGAUUUAUUUUUUAUUAAAUUUAAGAAUAUUUUUAUGAUUAUAAUUUUUAAUUUUAAAAGUUUUUAUAAGAUAAAAUAGUCUUUCACUUUAUUUGAAGGUAAAAUUGUCAUUUUAUUAAAAUUAUUUAAUAGUGUUAAUACAAAAGUGACUAAUUGAUACAAAUGUGAAAAAAAAAAUGAUACAAAAUACAUGUUAAAAUUUUAUAGUGAUUGAAUGAACAUAAGGCAAAAUAAAUAUUGUGCAAUGAUAAUUUCCCUUAUAUUAUAUCACUAUCAUUAAAGGGGGGCAAAUUUAGGAUCAAAUUGAUCGAUAUUAGACUUUUAAAAUUCAGAGUAGGUCUACUUCAAGACUUAUUAUUUGCCACUCAAAAGACUUUUUGACUUUUGACUUUUGACUUUUUGGUUUUGCUGCAGGAUUAUCUUCCAACAAGAGAAGGAACAUAUACAUAGGUAAUACGCAUCAUCCACCUUGUUUAUUUCUCUAGCUGCAGCAACAAUUUAUCAUUCAUUCUCAAGCACACUGGAUUGCUCCUAUGUUUGAAUAACAGGAAUUGCAGCUAGUGUAGUGGGGACAACAUUGACUUUUGCUAUUAUUCUCACUACUUCCGUACGACGAUACUGGAAGAAGGAAACAAGGCAUGAUCAAAAUGCAGAGGCAGCUUUUGUUAGGAAUUACGGAUCUCUUGCUCCUAAAAGAUUUAGCUAUUCUGAUGUUAGAAGGAUGACAAAAUCAUUCAGUGAUAAACUUGGUCAAGGAGGCUACGCUGAUGUUUACAAAGGAACAUUACCUGAUGGCCGUCUUGUUGCAGUGAAGGUCAUGAAGAACUUGAAGGAUAAUGGAGAGGAAUUCAUCAAUGAGGUGGCCAGCAUUAGCAGAACAUCGCAUGUCAAUAUUGUUCCAUUUCUAGGCUUUUGUUACGAGAAGAAGAAAAGAG
Molecule: long non-coding RNA, 19407 nt
Filed under: Citrus x clementina
Lineage: Eukaryota; Viridiplantae; Streptophyta; Magnoliopsida; Sapindales; Rutaceae
Description: Citrus clementina (C. clementina) long non-coding RNA (CCLE_LNC002093)
Source: RNAcentral